UCUAUUUAUAAAAUUAAAGAUAUUGCACUAUCACUAUAAAUCAUUUUUAGAGUAUCAUUCGAUAAAAUUAUAACAUUUUAUCGUGUCCUAAGAUACAUGUCUCUAAUUAAUUGAGAGUUUAUAAUUAUAUUCUUUUUUGUUAUUAUAUUCGUUCACAAUUUGUAACUACACCGGUAUAAAUAAAAAUAUAUUAAAUUGUUUUUCAAGUAAAUCACAGGAAACUCCUCUAAUAAUUCCAAAGACCAAAAAAGCAACAAUGGAUUCUCUCAAAAAUUUCAAAGGCUACGACAAAGUUGAAACCAACCUCGAAGAUCAACAAAAUCAGCCACAGCACGGCCACAAAAUCUCCAAACCCCUCAUCGCCACAAUUUCCAUCAUCAUCACCACCAUCCUCUUCCUCACUCUCACUUUAUCUUUCACCCUUUUAUUCCACCACACCGACUCACAAACCCCUCUCAACUCAACCGACUCAAUCAGAUCCAUUUGCAACGUGACUCGCUUCCCUGACUCAUGCCUCACCGCUUUAUCUCCCUCCUCACAAAACCUCACCAACCCAAACUCCAUCCUCAAACUCUCCAUCAUCGCCUCCGUCGACGAACUUACCAAACUCGCUUCAUCGCUAAAAGCCAAUUCCAACGAACGCGCGUUCGAUGAUUGCAAGGAACUAAUAGACGACGCGGUGAGUCGACUCAACGAAUCGGUUUCGGCGGUUUCCGACGGUGCCCAACCGUUGACGGAUGUUAAAAUUAAAGAUAUUCAGACGUGGGUUAGUGCCGCGUUGACGGAUCAACAAACGUGUGUUGAUGAGUUGGAAGAAGUUGGGCUUUCUUUGGAGACAGUUGAAAAGGUAAAGAAAAUGAUGCAGAAAUCAAAUGAGUAUACCAGCAAUAGUUUGGCUAUUGUGGCUCAUAUCAACAAUUUGUUACCAAUUCAUUAAAAAGUUUCAUAUUCUUUUUUGUUUAUUUGUAUUGUAAAAAUAAUAAUUGUGAAAUUUGUAUGCUUUUUUGUUUGAAUUUGUAGAUUGUAACUAUAUGAAUAUUUGUAUUUAUGGGGAAUGGAUUGAUUCCAUGCUUGUUUAAUGUCUUUUCAUUUUUUAUUUAUUGGUUCUUGGUGGUCCUCGUAAAUUGGCAGAUUUUUAUAGGUCAAAAUUCACCCAUGGGGUUUUCUAAUUCACUAUUAUUGUUGUUUGCAUUGAGAAGUUUUUUAUGUGGGUAAAUUCCUUUCUGUUCCAAUAUUUAUAGUUCUUAAAUUAGAUUUUCUUUUUAUAGAUUUUAAUUUUUAUUCUCUUAUUCUUAAAGUUCCAACAAGGGAAGGUUUGUUCAUUGUAACUCUUAAGUUAUGGAGUAGUGUUUGAUUUGUUAGAACUAAUAUCACACGUGAAAUGAGAAGAGAAAGAAUUGGAUUCAAAAUCAGUUAUGUUCAUUGUACUGUCAUCAUAACCAAUUACUUACAUAACACGUAACUCACACAAACCAUUUAAAAAUUUGAGAUUUUUCUUAACCAAAUAAAUACUAAUAUAUAAUAAAAAUUAGAUUUAUAUUUCAACCCCUUCUUAAUUCAAAGUUUUUACACCAAGUACAUUGAGAAUUCUUCUCAUUUUCUUAACUUUUUUAACUUUUUAUUUAUUUAGUUAGAACAUCUGCAACAUCUAUUUUAACAUAUAUCAGAAUGAUAUUAAUGAUAUUUCCCAUGCUUAGUUAAUCUUUAAGAAAAUGGAAUUCGAUUUCUAUAUACUUUCUCUUCCUAUGAUCUAUGUGAAUUUUAACAAGGAUUGCCACCGAUCACCUUGACAUGUUGAAUCGCAACCUAUCAUGUAUUCUCACUCUAACAAGAAGACAAGGUCACCACUGUCUGCUUUUUGGGAUACCAAAAGAUUAAAGAGUUGUAUAGUUUGAACACAUACUCUAUUGUGCUUUUCAUUUUCAUUUUUCUUUCACAUUACUAUGAAUCACAAAAAUCAAUCAAUUUGCCUCUCUGCCUUCAGAUUUUUGAAACAAAACACCAUGGUCAAAUGGGCCGCGGAGAUAUCUCUCGAUUCUUUUAAAUGCUUGCAUAUUUGACAAAUUAGGUUCUUGUAUAAAUUUACUCACAAUACCUAUAUCGUGACACAUUCGAUUUGAUAUAGUAUUUUAAUGGAUUAUAAUUUCUUUCCUAUUAUAAAUAAAUUCAAGACUAAAUAAGUACAGACCCGACGAUACUGUACAAGUGCAGCGAUGAGGACUCAAAUUUUAGUAGGUCUUAAAUUUUAUUUUUUUUAUUUUUUUAUAAAUAUUAAUAAAAAUAAAUAAAAUGUUAUUAAAAAAACUCAAUAAUUGAAAAAAAUGUUAUGAUAAAAAUUCAAUACAUACAAAAAUCAAGAAUGAUCAAAAUUCAAAAUAAUUAUAAUUAAAUUUAUAUUUAAUUAAUAAUAAUUGUAUUAUAUAUAUAUAUAUAUAUAUAUAUAUAUAUAUAUAUAUAUAUAUUUUUAUAUAUAUAUAUAUAUAUAUAAUUGUAUUUUUUUUAAAAAUUGAAUUCAUUUUUAAAAUUAGAACGGGGCAUCCGAUAUGAUUGGGUCGGUCCUGAGUAAGUGUAAUACUCCUCCUCAUCCAUAUUAAACUCAAUGCUCAUCUGCAAUUUGAGGUUCUCAAUCUUAGUAUGAUUACUUCCAACGAUGGGUAGAUCGACCGCAUAUAGGCACAAUAUGACGAGAUUACCUUGAUUCAAUCAUUUGAAAUAUAUUCCAUGCUUAAAAAUAUAUUUGGAAUAUCCAAUUCGAUUUAAGAACUCAUUAAUUUUCCUGUUCAAGGCUAUUGAAACUUGUUUUAGGUUAUAAAACAUCUUAUUAAGCUUCAACACCUUGUCUUCCUCACCUUUUCUAAUGAAUCUUUGAAGUUGUAAAACAAAAAUUCUUCCUCAAGAAAGCAGCUGACAAAUGCACACUAAACAUCAAGUUGAACAAACUUCCAUUGCACGAAGUUAUCCAUAACCACUACUAACUUGACAAUUUCAAUUCUUAUAAUUGGUGCAAAGAAUUCUAUCAAAUCAAGGUUUUCUUUUUCCUGAAUCUCUUUGAAAUAAUUUUUGUGUUGUACUUUGCAAUGGAAACACCAGAAGAAGAAACCAAAUUACAAACAUAAUCGAAAGAGGGAAUGAACCCUGACCAAGUUGGGUUCUUCUUACAAGAGGAUUGUUAGAAUUUAACUUAUAGCUAUUGAUUUUUUGUUUUGGAAUAAGUAGUGCAUGAAGCAAUUUUACAGAAUUAUAGCUAUUGAAUUUAUAGAAACACUUUUAUAUAAUUUUUACAACUUCAAUUAAAUAUUUAAUAUUUAAAUAUAAUGUAAGGUUGGAUUUUUUAUAAAAAUAAAUCUGCAAGGAAAGUGAUCGUGGUUCCAUCGAUAUUUCUGACGUUCUCUAAACUCUUAAUAAGUGGUACUAGCGUUAUGGUUUGGAUCGACUGAGGAGAAGAAGUGGAUCCUAGCAUGGAUCUAGUGAUGUAGGUGACUCAAACUUGUGAGAAAGAUUAUUAUGAGUGGAUAAAUCUCAUAUCGACUAAAAAUUGAGGAAAUGUUAGAUUUAUAAGAGAAAAAACUCACACCCCUAGUGACUUAAGGAUUUGGAUGGAUAUGUAGCGUCAAGAUCUCUUGAAUCCUAAAGAAUUAGUCAAUUGACUCUUCCUAGUAUUUUGAUAAUAUUUGAAUUCUAGAAUUUCAGUUUAAAAACAUACAUUUCACGUUUUCAAAACGAGUGACUUUGAAAAGAUUUUAGGGGUGGAAGAAGAAAGUAUCGCACAAAUAUUCUUUAUACUCUACUAACCAUGCUAGAUGUAGUAGGCUAGAUGUAGAAGGAAAGUGAAAGAAAUAUGGGAUUUAUUACCCCGUCCAAUGUGUUGGAAAAGCACCCUAUAAAAAAUUCAAAAUUGUCCCUCAGAUUCUGGAAAUUCAUCUUCGGACGCACUCUUGUCUCUAGUCAAAACAUUAAAAUUGAGCCACACCCAACAUAUUCUGCAAAAUUUAAUUCGAAGAUGUAUCUCCAGGAUAAUUCAAUGUACAUAUCAUGCAUCCCUCUUUGAAAUGCCCAUUUUUCCAUACAUUGUUCCAGAGAUGCAUCUUUGUGAAGCUACGCAAAAAAUACUCGAGUGCAUCGCACGCUUGAAGAUACAACGGAGUCGCCAUCGAAAUUUAUUUAUUCCCGAAGGAAAGGGAAAACAUCGAUAAAACCCGAGGGAAGAGAAAAUGAGUAAGGAAGUCGGUUAUGCAAAAGGAAGGUAUUAGCAUCCCUCACAUCCAUUGUACUCAAUGGGAACCAUUUUGAUUGUUCUUGCUCGAAUGGAUGUUAUCUAAAGAUUACUUGCAAAAGAUAAGGGAAAAAGAAUGGAAUAGAUAGAGUGCUCGGUGAGGAUUAGGACCUUCACGCCUACGUAUCCUUAUAGUGCAAUAAGGAAUUCAGAGCUCCGUAGUUCAUAGAACUAAUGGUGGGAGAUGAAAGAGGUUGUGAUAAAUGUAUGGUUUGAACCAAAGGAUUGUAUUGUUUGAACCAAUAGGGUAGGUAUGUUUGAACUAAUGAGAAAAGCUAGCAUGAACCAAUAUAUGGUAUGGCAAAAAAUAAAGGGUUUUCAUCCUAUAUAAGGACUUCAAUGUAAGUAAAACAAAAGAAAAGUUUGUCUAUACAAGUCAAACAAAAAGACUAUUGGUUCAGAGGCAGACAUUAGUUAUUGGCCCAAAAGUAUGUAUGAAAUCUAACGAAAUAUUGUAUUUGGUUCAAAGAGAAAGUAUAUCAUUGAUGAAUGGUUGAAUGUUAAAGGUAUUGAAUGAUGAAGAAUGGAACAUGAAUUGAAGGAUAAAGAGAAAAAAUAAUAAUUAAUAUGAUCGUCAAGGAUUUGAAUGCUCGUGCCUACGUAUUCUCAUUGUGCAAUGAGAAAUUCAGAGCUCCAUAGUUCAUAUAACUAAGACGGAAAGACUGAAACAAGGUCUUUUCCUAGGCAACUAGGACUAACAAGACAAACAAAAAUAAAAGGGUAUGACUGAAGUGAUGAAAAGUAUAAUUUGCACUAAAAGAUAAUGGUAUUGUUUGGAUCCAUAGGAAAUUAAAUCUGAACCAAAGAGUAAAGCAGACAUAUUGGCGAAAAAGAAAAAAAAAGGAAAUGUUUGUCUAUACAAGACAAAAACUCUUGGUUCAAAGGUGGGAAGUGGUUAUUGACCCAAAAGGUAUAUUGUAUUUGGUCCAAAGAAAUAGUAUAUCACUAAGAUGAAUGAUCAUGAUUGAAGAUACUGAAUGAGAGAUGAUGAAAGAUGUGGAUGGUGCUCUAAGACAGAAGAAUAUCUUUGAUUGAUUAUUAUAAUUAUGAAAUUAUUUGACGAGUUUAAUCAUUGGUACUUAGAGGGAGACGAGCGUCUAACCACUGGCUAAGUACGACGGAUAAUCAAAAUACUCAGGAGUUGAGAGGACAGUUGCAUCCUAACCCCUCUUUUUCACUCUCAAAGUACCAGAUUAGACUCAUUUUUAUUGUUAAGUGUUUUGAAAGGAUGUCAAGUAUCAGGCCACGAGGUAGGUACAACCGACAAACCAAGUACUUGAAGUAUUGUGCACAAGUACGAACACCCCAUCUUUUUCAUCCAAUUUAUUAUGAAAAUUCUUUGAUGUAUAGAAAUGCAUCAAGAUAAGAAGAUAGAAUAAAAUGAGAUAGAAUGAAAUGGAUGGGAUAAAGAUAGGGUGGAAAUGGAAUGGAUGUUGAGAUACUUGACGUUAGAUCAAGCACUCGUGUUGCUUUUGAUUUGAUUUGAUUUUGAAAAGCACUUGACAUUGGAUCAAGUGUGUUUUUAUUCUUUUGAAGAGUAUUCUUUUUAUAAUUUUAUUUUUAUCUUAUCAAUUAACAUAUAAUGUAAACAAUAAGGAAAAUAAAGUCUUAAGCUAUUACAUGAUCAUGGGAAUGAGGGACAUAUUACCCACAAUGGGGGGAUGAAUCAUCAAUCAUACAAGAAUGAGAAUAAGUUACAUAUAAACAUAUAAUGGUAUCAUGCCCUAAAACCAAUCAAGUGGCAAUGGUACCCUAAUAAAUACACAACUAUGAUCAUGUAACAUACAUCAAUAUACAAUUGGAUAAACACAAAUGGUAUACUAAUCUAAAGAAUGCAAAUCAAAGAUUAAAGGCUACAUUCAAACAUGAAUCAAAGUGGACGAAUCAUAUAAAAAGAUCAUUAGUUCUAAUAAAAAAAUGACUAAAAACAAUCAUGUAUCACAUUGAAUUAUUAAACAUGUUUAGCUAAAAAAUCAACCUACAAUGAAGGAUUAAAAAUAUGAUGAACCAUGAUCUUCAAAAUGACUUAAUAAUCUAAAAUCAAUUAUAAUCAAAUCCUAUUCUAAAGCAUUAAUUCAUUGAUUUAACAAAUUUUUUAAAAUGGUUAACAAAACAUAAUUAAAAAUUUCAACCAUAUAAUAAUGUAUUCUCUAAGUAUUCAUGUGAAACAAUUAUAAAAAAUCCAUCCAAAAAGAAGUAAAAUAAUAAUAAAAAGAAACAAAAGAAAAUAAAAGAAAAUAAAACAACGACAGGGGAGGUCGCCUCCGGUAACGGAGGAUGGCCAACUACCGAGAAAAAUACACCAUCUCAUUUAUUAUCAUGUACCCAAAUCGAAUUCGUGACUAAUUUCACCAAAUUCCCAGUCCCACGCCCUAACCGAAUGGAAACACUCAAGAACCUUAAAUGCACAAAGUUAAAUUAAAUUAUCACCAAGCUUAAAAUCAACCUAUAACCAUGGGGUUAUUGAUCUACAACCUUCAAUUAAUCAAUCGGUAACAAGAAGUUGAAUAAACUGAGUGAAAACAUGUGAGCUCACUGGAGUAAUUCGAAGCUGAAGGUACACAAUCAGCAAGGUAACUUUCUACACACUUUUCUUUUGUGUCAAUUAUUAUCUCUUCUUCUUCUUCUUCUUCUGGAUAUUGGUUGAUGUGUGAAUCUCCAAUUGGAUUGAAUUGAGGGAAAGAUUUGAGUGAUGAGAUGAGUGGAUGAACUGGGAAUCGUGAGAGCCUAGGUGAAAAAUGUAGAUGAUGAUGGUGGUUCCUUUGAAUUGGUAAAAAUGAUGAAAUGGUGAUUAAUGAAAAUGGUGAAACAAUUCUGAACAAUUGAUGAUUAUUGAUUUGUUGAAUGAACUGGUUAAUAUGGUGGAUUGUGCUUAUGUGUGAAAUUGAUCCCUUCAAAUGGGGAUUGAAGAUGUCUUUUUAAAGCCCUUCAACCCUCCAACCAAAUCAGUUAGAGUCUGUUAACCAGUUAGCCUCGAAAUAAGUGUAGGUUGUUAGAAAAACCGUUAGGCAGUUGGAGAAUUUCUAGGAUAAAACCGAGCUGAAAAACUGUUAGUUUGUAAGGUUAAAUUUUUCUGUUAGGAUGUUAAAGCUAGCAGAAAUAUACCCGAACGCAUCACACGUUCGAAUAUACAACAAAGUCGCCAUCGAACUUUAUUUAUUCCUAAACGAAAGAGAAAACAUCGAUAAAACCUAGGGAAAAAAGAGAAUGAGUAAGGAAGUCAAUUAUGCAAGGGGAAGGUAUUAGCACCCCUAACAUUCGUUGUACUCAAUGGGAACUGUUUUGAUUGUUCUUUGCUAUGAUGGGUAUGAUAUCUAAAGAUUACUCACGAUAGAAUAAAGGGAAAAGAAAAGAAUAUAUAGAAUGCUUAGUGAGGAUUAGAGUCCUCAUGCUUACGUAUCCUUAUAGUGCAAUAAGGAAUUCAGAGCUCCGUAGUUCAUAGAACUAAUGGUAGAAGGUGAAAAGAAUAGUGAUAACAAUGGUUUGAACCAAAGGAUAAUGUGGUUUGACUCCAAAAAUGUAUGAAAUCUGAAUCCGGGAGUAAAAUUGGCAUGAACCAAUAUGUGGGGAGCCUGAGGCAUGUAACCAUUAUAUAUGGCCGAGUCGAAAACAAAGGGAAUUAAGUGUUUGACAUCAAGGAAAAAGAUCUCUCGGUUCAAAGCAGACACUGGAUGAAGCUCAAAGCAAUAAUGUAUUUGGCUCAAAGAGAGAGGUAUAUCACAUGAGGUGAAUGAAGGUAGUAGGUAUGAAUGAAUGUAAUGAUUAAUGAUCCAUGAAGAUAAAUGGAAGGAUAGAAAAAAGUAACCAAAGUCAAAGAAAUGAGGGAUUUGGUAAAAGUGACAGAAUGGUAUGAUUUGGAACUAAAAGUAAGGGUAUUAUUGGAAUCCAUAAAGGAAAUGGUAUUUGCAACCUAAGAGUAAAGGUGACAUAAACCAAUAUGUGGAGAGCCUGAGACAUGUAACCACUAUAUAUGGUCGGGCCAAAAACGAGAAAUUAAGUGUUUGGCAUCAAGGCAAACAUCUCUUGGUACAAAUGUCGACAAUUGUUCUAAAAGGGUAUAUACAAAAUUCCAAAGAAGUGCGGUGUUUGGUUCCAAAGAAAGACAAUAUGUCACUGAGGUGAAUGGCUAUGAUUGAAGAUAGAUGAUUGAUUAUGAAAGAUAUGGAUAGAGCCCUAGGGCAGAAGAAAGAAUAAUUAUGCUCGCCAAGGAUUCACAUCCUCGUGCCUACGUAUUCUUAUUGUGCAAUGAGAAAAUCAGAGCUUCAUAGUUCAUGGAACCACAAAAACAAAAAGAAGGGAGAUUGCAAGUGAUGAAAAGGUAUAACUUGCACCAACAGAAAAUGGUAGCACGGGAACUGAAAAAGGAGAUGCGAAAAAACAACCGGCGAGAAAGAAAUGACAGAAGAGUCGCCGCCGUGCGUUAUUUAUCCCAAAGGAGGGAAAGGAAACGCUCGAAGUAAACCUGGAAAAAGGAAAGGAAAAGACAAGGUCUCGCAACCAAAUCUUGGGUUCGGGAGUCGAUUAUGUGAAGGGAAGGUAUAUAGCACCCCUACGCAUCCGUAGUACUCUACGGGAUCCACUCUUGUUGUUCUUGUCUAAAGGGUGUGGGUUUAUCUAAUGUACUAUUUACUAAAAGAGGGGUUAAAAGAAAAUGACUCGCACGGAUGUUGCAUCCACUGCAUACGUAUCUCAUCUGAAUAUGAGAAUCAGAGUCUUCGUAGCUCGGCUACUAUGGGUUAAAGAGGAGUGUGCUCACUAAGACAUCGCGUCUUAUGCCUACGUAUCUCAUCUGGAAUGAGAAUCAGAGCAAGCCGUAGUUCGGCUAACUACGGGUUAAGGGUUGUGUUUUUGGGUGAACGACGUUACUACGCAAUCUACCAGAUGCUCGACCUUUGGAGACUUACUCGCCUGUAGUAGAAGGAGUAAAUAUGUUCUUAGGAGAAGAAAAAUCAAUGAGUUAUUGGUGUUUUAGGGAUGCUCAUGCAAAAAGGCAGUCCUAGACGAAGGAACCGCACUACCUUAAUGGACAUGCAAACAGGAGACUAUACGAAGCCUAGCAAUCUUAUGGGGAGACGAUCACACCGUAUAAAACAAACAUGCAUAAAGUAAAAUGCCAACAAGGGGGCUCAAACAUACAUGGGUAGGGCUUUAGUCAAGAUGGGUCAUAUCAACCUCGAUAAACAAGCCAUGGAAUAGGUAAUCAAAUGGGCUCUUAACCACUGACAUUGAACGUCAGGGUGAGCAGAUCAAAAGGGUAAUGAGGAUAAGACCUCAUAGCUCUUAACCAUGAACGUCAGGGUGAGCAGAUCAAAAGGGUAAUGAGGAUAAGACCUCAUAGCUCUUAACCCUGGACAGGGUGAGCUCAUGACAAAAAGUGGGGAUUCAGAAAGGUGGAACCCUCUCCACUGACCGACUGGACAAAAGAUCUUGGGCUUUUGUUCUGAAGCUUCAGCACGUAGUGCGGGCAUAAAGAACGACACACUGAAUAACGGGGGAUUGAUUACUAAUCCCUUUUAUCCGCCAAUUGCCUCUGCAUGGAGGUCUUUUAGCACUAGUGCCUCUUCUUGGAGGUCUUUGAGCAUAAAAGUAAACAAACAAAAGAAAACAUUGCCUCCUAUUAAGGUCUUCCAGCUAAGAAAACGGUAAAAUGCGGGAAAAAUAAAGGGAUCAAGAGGUCUACCGCAUGGAUAAAGAUCCGAAGUAACAGCAACUAAAGACAUAAGAAACCCAGAGAUCUCCCAAGCUGGCACCAUUAAUGAAAGCAAGUCAAUACAGGUAAUCGGAAUAAACCUCCAGAUGGUAUCCCACAAAUAAAGUGGAAUAUCAAGCAAGCUAUCCUUUCAGAGUCACGUGAGCCCUCACAAAACUCAACAAACAAGUUAGAGUAACAGGAUGGAAUCAAGAGAAAACAAUGCCAUGCCAAACACAAAACAGAUUAGAGCAAACAGAAAAAGAAUCAAUUACUGUCACGCUCGCUACUGCUUCACCUAGCGAAGGCUUAGCGAGGCUUCGCUGCAGGCUCGCCUAGCGAAGCGGCUAGUGAAGGCCUGCGGGUUUUAGGUUCUUCAUUGAUAACAGUCUGAUCUCGGUAACCCAAACCCUAUGGCAUCCAUCUCAGAAACGAAACGAUCAAACAUUCGAAGUAUUAUUCAUGCAUAUCUACCCGUGGGAAAAACCUCACGAUAAUACCUCAUACAUUCAGAGUGUUCAAAUUAAAAGCAUAAAGUAAUGGGAAUAGGGCAAACCUGAUUGGAGAGAUCGAAUGGAAUUGAAUUGCCCGGUUGGGUUUGCAGAGCAAUCUUAGGGUUUGUAUGAGGCAGAACAGGUUCUUUGCAGAUGAGUUCCUUUCAGUGUCCGGAGGCUGCUCUGAAUCCUGUCAGCUCUUCUCUCACUAUUUUUUUCCAGGGUUUUUUGGGAGGUGGAAGUCUAGAAUGUAUAACCUGAUUUUUGUGACUUUGUGGGCUCAAAUGAGGGCAACUCAAGCCCAUGACUUUCUGUUAUUUUUUGAAAACACGUGAGCUUCGCCUAGCGAAGGACUUGCUCGCUUAGUGAGCAUGACAAUUCAGUUCGCUAGCGAACCAUGCUGCUCGCCUAGCGAGCAUGACAGCUCAGAAACAAAUUUUGCUCGCUCAAGAUUAGCAUUUUGAAUGAUGAAUAGACCCCAUUUGAACCUGUUGGAAGUAACUCAAGUCGUUUCCUCGUGUUGACUGAUCACCUGGAUAGAAUCCACAAAGUGUCCCGGAUGAUGUUCAAGCUUCUUGGAUUUGAUCCUGAUUGACAUGAUGAAAUGCAAUAUGAAAUGUUAAAUGACCUAAAAAUGCAUGCAUGAAUGAGGAGGGAAAAUUUUGGGGUGUUACAGGAACCCAUAAAGGUAAAUGAACUUUGAACCAAAGAGUAAAGGUGGCAUAGACCAAUAUGUGGGGGGGAUGAGGCAUCAUACCACUAUAUUAGAAUGACCAAAAACAAAUGAAUUAAGUGGUUGGAAUCAAGGCAAACAUCUCUUAGUUCACAAGGUAGGCACCAGAAUCGCCCUAAAAGUAUAGGUAUGGGACCGAAAGGAAAAUAUGAUAUUUGGUUCAAGAAAGUAGUAUAUCACUGUAGGGGGACAAACAAUUUGAAACGAAAGAAUAGUAUGUUGAGUCCAUGAAGGAAUAAACUCUGAACCAAAGAACAAAGGUGGCAUAAACCAAUAUGUGGGGGGACUGAGGCAUCAUACUACUAUAUUGGAAUGACCAAAAACAAAGGAAUUAUGUGUUCGGCAUCAAGGCAAACAUCUAUUGGUUCAUAAGUUGGACUCUGAUUAAUUGUCCUAAAAGGAUAUGAAUGGACUCCAAAGGGAUAAAGUAUUUAAUUUCAAAAGGACAGUAUUGAUUGAUGAAGAAUUAAUAAUUAGGGUAGCUGAAUGGGAAAUAAUAAUUAGGAAGCUCGCAGAGAAUAUGAAUCCUCGUGCCUACGUUUUCUCGUCGUGCAAUGAGAAAGUCAGAGCUCCAUAGUUUGGCUUACGACGGAACAAAGACAAAUAUGAUUGGGUUGCCAAGAUGCAAGAGAAAUGGAAAUGAAAGAUGAAGGAGACUAUGCAGUCACUGGAUAUGAACCAUAUAAAGUCUAUGAGUAAAUGUGAAUACAAUGAGCAACUGAGUCAUUCAUCUCGUAUCCAAAGAUAUUCAGAAUGAGUUAAUGAAAUUCUCCAUUCUCAUUCCUUCUUUACUACUUAAGGCUUAUGGCAUGUGAUUCUAAUCAUAACUUUCAAGUUGUUGAGGAAGAAUCCUUGCUGCUCCUUCUGAUGAUGAAGACUUUGUCAAUCAUUUGAUUUGAAUUGCACUAAAAUCUAUGAACAAAUUCCUUGAGCAACUAGGUCAUUCGUCCCGUACCCAAGGAUACCCUAGACAAGGAUAGGAAUGCUCCACUCUCAUUAUUCUUUGUUAAUUAAGACUCAUGUCACACAACUUGAAUCUUGAUUGACAAGCUUUUGAAGAAACACCUUUGAUAUGACUGGCAUAGUAGUCCAUUGCUUGAUUUGUCUGGGAUGCCUUGACUGAAAAUUUGAACUUGAGGACUUGAGAUCCACAACAUUACAGGAACUAGUUUUACCAAGUGAUCAAGGGACUUUUUAUCACUUGAAUAGACUGAGGAAUUAUACACAAUCAAAGGAUUUAGUUAAUCAAAAUUUCUUUUUAUCAACUUAAUCAAAGGGAAAGAAUUAGUUGGUAAUCAUGUAGAACAUGUCUAAAGGUUAAUCAUUUAAAACCUAAUUAUCAUCAACAUUAAUUAAUUAAAAUCUAAUGUUUCUAAUCACUUUAAUAAAUCCAAUUAGAAGUUAAAAUCUAAUUAAUUUCUAAUGGACUAAUUAAUUCAAUUAAUUUUUAAAACCUAAAUCAAGUUCUAAAAAUUAAUCAAUCUGAUUAAUUUCUAGAACCUAAAUAAGCUCUAAAAUUUAAUUAAUCUAAUUAAUUUCUAAAACUUAAAUCGAGUUCAAAAAAUUAAUUAAAUUAAAGAUCUAAAAAUUCUAACUAACAAGAUUAAAAUUCUAAUUUUUCUAAUCCUAAGUUUUAAUUCUAAUUAUUUCUAAAACCCAAUUAAGUUCUAAAAAUUCUAAUUACUCUAAUUGAAUUCUAAAACCUAGUCAUUUCUAAAAAACUAAGUCCCUAAUUAACCUCUAAUCAUAUUCUAAUUAAUCAUUAAUUCUAAAAAUCUAAAAAUUUUAAAUCACCUAAAACAAUAUUCUAAUUAAUCCCUAUAUAACCUAAAACAAUAUGGAAACAAUUAAAAAAAAGUAAGAGGUGAUUAUGGAGGUUCAGGCCUAAUGUGAGGUGUAAAGAAAACAUAGACUUAAGGUUAUAUUGGGCUACAAUUAAAAAACAAAAGAAAAAAAAGGUUGCACUAAAAGAUAAGAAAAGAAAAGUUGGACUUAAAAAAAAGAAAAAAGGAAUCCCCCACAACCGGACCGGGUCGGCCGACCGGUGCACUAGACCGGACUGAAAUAGUCUAAUGUUAACACAUCCUCCCAUUUUUUGAAACGUAAAUGGUAGUGGGGAAGGGGAAAAGAUGUAUCGUGUUGUGGUGGCGAUGUGGCCGCAGUGGUGACCAUCUGGGGGGCUGGCUAGCGGAGGUCCUCCCCCACCCCUACGUCAAUGAUUAUGCUAAGAAUUGAAGAUUACUUGUUAAGCUAAUUUCUAUGUCACUUGCACUUUGGUUUUCUUUGGAAAUAAGUGUUUACAUAAAAAAUCUAUUUGCUCUAUACCUAAAUCAAAGUUAUUGCUAUACUAACUACAACUUUAUUGCUAUGUUAAGUGCAAAUCCUUGUCAGACUAUAGAGAAGACUAUGGUAUAUUCAUUUCCAUGCUACUUUAAUGAUAACUUUUUGAACAAUUAAACUACUUUUUAUGAUCGAAUUAACCUCAAAAGAGUAGUAUAAUCUAAAGGCUCUACCACAUGAAAUUAAUAAGAUAAACCAUACAAGAGGAUUCAUGGCAAUGACAUGGAAAUAGUGUCGCAACCUAAAAGAGGAAUGCGAAAAAAACAACCGGCGAAAAAAGAAAAGAAAUGACAGAAGAGUCGCCACCGUGCGUUAUUUAUCCCAAAGGAGGGAAAGUAAACGCUCGAAGUAAACCUGGAAAAAGGAAAGGAAAAGACAAGGUCUCGCAACCAAAUCUUGGGUUCGGGAGUCGAUUAUGCGAAGGGAAGGUAUUAGCACCCCUACGCAUCCGUAGUACUCUACGGGAUCCACUCUUGUUGUUCUUGUCUAAAUGGUGUGGGUUUAUCUAAUUGUACUAUUACAUAAAGAGGGGUCAAAGAAAAUGACUCGCACGGAUGUCGCAUCCCUGCAUACGUAUCUCAUUUGAAUAUGAGAAUCAGAGUCUUCGUAGCUCGGCUGACCUAUUUGUUUGUUUGUGUUUUUUUUAGGUGAACGACGUUACUAUGCAAAUCAACGGAUGCUCGACCUUUGAGACUUACUCGCCUGUAGUAGAAGGAGUUAACGUGUUCUUAGGAGAAGAAAAAUCAAUGAGUUUUUUGUGUUUUUAGGAAUGCUCAUGCAAAAAGAAGUCCUAGACGAAGGAACCGUGCUACCUUAAUUGACAUGCAGACGAGAGACUAUACGAAGCCUAGCAGUCCUAUGGGGAGACGAUCACACCACACAAAACAUAUAGCAUAAAGUAAACACACACAACAGGGGGCUCAAACAUACGUGGGUAGGGCUUUAGUCAAGAGGGGUCAUAUCAACCUCGACAAACAGCCAUGGAAAGGUAAUCAAAUGGGUCUUAACCACUGACAUUGAACGUCAGGGUGAACAGAUCAAAAGGGUAAUGAGGAUAGACCUCAUAGCUCUUAACCUUGGAUAGGUGAGCUCAUGACAAAGCGUAGGGGUUAGAAAGAUGAACUCUCCACUGACUGACCGACAAAAGAUCUUGGGCUUUUGUUCUAAAGCAUCGACACGUAGUGCGAGCAUAAAGAACGACACACUGAAUAACGGGGGAUUGACUACUAAUCCCUUUUAUCCGUCAAUUGCCUCUUCAUGGAGGUUUUUAGCACUGGUGCCUCUUCUUGGAGGUCUUUGGGCACAAAAGUAAACACACAAAAAACAUCGCCUCCUGUCGAGGUCUUCCAGCUAAGUAAGCGGUAAAAUGCGGGAAAGAUAAAGGGAUCAAGAGAUCUACCACACGGAUAAAAAUCCGAAGUAAUAACAACUAAAGAAGCAAGAAACUCGGUGAUCUCUCAAGCUAGCACCAUCAAAUAAAGCAAGUCAGCAAAGUAAUCGGAAUAAAUCUCCAAAUGGUAUCCCACAAAUAAAGUGGAAUACCAAGCAAGCUAUCUCUUCAAGAGUCAUGUGAACCCUCACAAAAACUCAACAAACAAGUUAGAAUAACAAGAUGGGGUGCAAUCAAGAGUUGCACCAAAUAAGAGUCAAAAUGUAACCACAUGAAUCAUGCCAUUAAAGUUCACAAAAAAAGUUCACAAAAAGCAACCAAGGUAGGAGGCCUAAACCUCUCGUCAAACAAAUGCAUCAAAAGAGUAUCAAAACUCAAAGUCAGGGGGCAUGGAUCCACACAUCAAGACAUGACAUACAUACUAAAAUAGGUGCCCGGAUGUAAUAAAAAGCAUGUCAUAACAAACACAAAACAUAUUAGAGAGCAAACAGAAAAAAACAGCUACUGUCGCGAUCGCUACUGCUUCGCUUAGCGAAGGCUUAGCGAAGCUUCGCUACAGGUUCGCUUAGCGAGGUGCUAGUGAAUGCCUGCGGGUUUUGGGUUCUUCUCUGGUAACAGUACGAUUUCAGAAACCCCAAACCCUAUGGUAUCCAUCUCGGCAACGAAGUGAUUAAACAUUCAAGGCAUUAUUCUACACAUUCAUGCACAUCUAAAACCAAAUGCAAAACCUAACGAUACCCACUCUUCCAAAUUCACCCAUAAUACCUCAUACAUCAGAAAUUUCAAAUUGGAAGCAUAAAGUAAUGGAAAUAGGGCAUACCUGAUAGGGAAGAUCGAUUGAAAUUGAAAUGCACCGUUGGGUUUGCAGAGCAAUCUUAGGGUUUAUAUGAGAUGGAGUUGGUAGAGAUGAUUCUGUGCAAAUGAGUUUUCUUCAGUGUGUAUGGAGGCUGCUCUGAACUCUAUUAGCUUCUCCUUUCUCUUAUAGGUCUUGUUCUUUUGAAUCUUUUGAGAAUUUAUACUGAUUUUCGUGGCUUUGUGGGCUCAAAUGAGAGAGGUCCAAGUCCAAGAUUUUUCUAUUAUAUUUUUUAUUUUCAAAACGCGUGGGCUUCGCCUAGCGAAGAAUCUGCUCGCCUAGCGAGCAUGUCAGUUCAGGAAAUUCCUUCUGAGCGCAGGUGACUCUGGUGGCUUUCUUGGGACUUGCUAGGCGAACCAUUCUGCUCGCCUAGCGAGCAUGACAUCUCAAGAACACACUUUUGCUCCUUCAAGAUAACGUUUUGAAUGAUGAACAGACCCCGUUUGAACAUGUUGGAAGUACCUCAAGUCAUUCUCUAGCCAUUUGACCUUCAGUUGACCAACAGUUGACUUUUGGCUUCACAAUUGAAUUUUGAACUGUACUGAGCCCAUUAAGCUUGACCCUUUAAAGAAAACCUCUGAAAAUGAAAUCAAGUGACUUGGAUGAUAUCCAAGCUUUUUGGAAGAUAAACUCUUGGAGCUAACUCUGAUUGACAUGAUGAAAUGCAAUAUGAAAUGUUAAAUGACCUAAAAAUGAAUGCAUGAAUGAGGAGGGCAAAUUUGAGGUGCUACAAAUAGUGAAAGUUCAAGGCUUACCAAUAGAGCCUAGAUUUGCUCCGGUGCAUGUUGAAAUUAUGCCGAAAAGAAGCGAAACCUGAAAAAAAAA
This 16597-nucleotide long non-coding RNA is filed under the name Lathyrus oleraceus (garden pea). RNAcentral's name for it is "Pisum sativum (pea) long non-coding RNA (PSAT_LNC034218)". Lineage: Eukaryota; Viridiplantae; Streptophyta; Magnoliopsida; Fabales; Fabaceae. The record is from RNAcentral.